This 305-nucleotide ribosomal RNA is filed under the name uncultured bacterium. RNAcentral describes it as "partial 16S ribosomal RNA". It matches the Rfam family "Bacterial small subunit ribosomal RNA", at positions 505 to 807 of the family's 1533-position model. The record is from RNAcentral.
ACAGCAGUCGCCACGGGAAUACGGAGGGUGCAAGCGUUAAUCGGAAUUACUGGGCGUAAAGCGCACGCAGGCGGUCUGUCAAGUCAGAUGUGAAAUCCCCGGGCUUAACCUGGGAACUGCAUUUGAAACUGGCAGGCUAGAGUCUUGUAGAGUGGGGUAGAAUUCCAGGUGUAGCGGUGAAAUGCGUAGAGAUCUGGAGGAAUACCGGUGGCGAAGGCGGCCCCCUGGACAAAGACUGACGCUCAGGUGCGAAAGCGUGGGGAGCAAACAGGAUUAGAUACCCGUGUAGUCCCUGUCUCUUAUAC